Molecule: ribosomal RNA, 301 nt
Filed under: uncultured bacterium
Lineage: Bacteria
Description: partial 16S ribosomal RNA
Rfam family: Bacterial small subunit ribosomal RNA
Source: RNAcentral
CAGUCGCCGCGGGAACACGAAGGGUGCAAGCGUUAAUCGGAAUUACUGGGCGUAAAGCGUGCGUAGGCGGUUUGUUAAGUCUGUUGUGAAAUCCCCGGGCUCAACCUGGGAAUUGCAGUGGAUACUGGGUCACUAGAGUGUGGUAGAGGAUAGUGGAAUUUCCGGUGUAGCAGUGAAAUGCGUAGAGAUCGGAAGGAACAUCUGUGGCGAAGGCGACUAUCUGGGCCAACACUGACACUGAGGCACGAAAGCGUGGGGAGCAAACAGGAUUAGAUACCCCAGUAGUCCCUGUCUCUUAUAC